GUGGGGAAUCUUCCGCAAUGGACGAAAGUCUGACGGAGCAACGCCGCGUGAGUGAUGACGGUCUUCGGAUUGUAAAGCUCUGUUAAUCGGGACGAAAGAGCUCUGUGUGAAUAAUGCAGAGAAGUGACGGUACCGGAAUAGAAAGCCACGGCUAACUACGUGCCAGCAGCCGCGGUAAUACGUAGGUGGCAAGCGUUGUCCGGAAUUAUUGGGCGGAAAGCGCGCGCAGGCGGGUUUUUAAGUCUGUCUUAAAAGUUCGGGGCUUAACCCCGUGAGGGGAUGGAAACUGGAAGCCUAGAGUAUCGGAGAGGAAAGCGGAAUUCCUAGUGUAGCGGUGAAAUGCGUAGAUAUUAGGAAGAACACCAGUGGCGAAGGCGGCUUUCUGGACGAAAACUGACGCUGAGGCGCGAAAGCCAGGGGAGCAAACGGGAUUAGAAACCCCUGUAGUCC
RNAcentral lists this ribosomal RNA (450 nucleotides) under uncultured bacterium. Its description in RNAcentral is "partial 16S ribosomal RNA". It matches the Rfam family "Bacterial small subunit ribosomal RNA", at positions 354 to 796 of the family's 1533-position model. The record is from RNAcentral.